Labeo rohita (rohu) is the source of this 3573-nucleotide long non-coding RNA. RefSeq lists it as uncharacterized. The record is from RefSeq and is a predicted model, not a curated record. The transcript is spliced from 3 exons. NCBI's taxonomy places the organism in Eukaryota, Metazoa, Chordata, Actinopteri, Cypriniformes, Cyprinidae.
AUGUUAAAAACAAACUUUGUUGAUAGACCUAUUACGUAAACGAAUAUCCACACACACUUCAGACAAAAAUCAGACAUUUUCCCAUGAUUAUUGCCCAACAUUGUGCUAUAUGUGGUGACUUAUCUUCUCUCUUUAUACUGCCAAACAUUGAUAAAGUCUCAUUAAUCUUCUCUGUCUGUCUUUUAAAUGUUUGUCCCUGUCUUAUUCAAGGACAAAACCAACUUUUGCCUGUGGGAAUCUCACACAUUGGCAGAUGCCAACAUAUUUAAAGAGCAUUCAGAUCCUUGGAGAAUUAAAUAUAUUUUUUAAUUCGCUCUGAUCUGUUCCAUUCGCAUUUACUCUUCAGUAAGUCAGUUCUGGUGAUGAACAGCAUGUUUGUUGUCUGGACUCUCAGUUUUCUGAUCCUCAGCUACACUCUUGGGUUUCCCAAUCCUAAAAACAUAAGCAGUGAAUCUCGAACUGGAGACUUUUCACAAUGUCACAGAGGGAAACUCCACAGACCACAUAAAGACCAAUCAGACCAGGUAUGCUUGAUGAUUUUAUAAAACAGCAUGAAUGAUGUUGACAGACUGGUUGGGAAAGGUCACAUUAUCUGACUUUGGAUGCGAAUAUGCUAAAUUUUGAUCAUCUUACGCAUGUUGGGCUCUUAAAACAGGUAAGAAGAACUUCAUUUAUUUAUAAAACAUGACAAAUCUACUCUUUCAUAAACAGUAUUUCCUCUGUCACUGUUACCAUUAGGCUAAUAUUUGUAGUUCUUUACUGCUGUUCAUAAGUAAGUAUGUCAACAAUGACAACCCUAAAUAGUUUUAGCAUAUUAAUGGACGUGACAAUGUUAAUGUAUUUGGGUUUCUACUUGUACUUGGACUUGCUACUGCUAAUAGAUAUGCAGACACAGUGCUGUCAGGAUAUAAGAUAUGCUCCUGCUGCAAUAGGCAUAUAUAAAUCCCAUAGCAGAUGUAGACAGGUGGAGCUGGGGGAGGUGGAGGAUUUAACAUGAACUCUGAUAGCACGAAGCAGGACCAGCUUACUGCAAACACUAAACCAAACUAUUUAAAUGUUCAGCAAGCAAUAUCAUAGCCUGCAGAAUCAGCAGAGGCUGAACAGCUCAUGCCAUGUAGGAAAUGAUUGCUAGUAGAUUGCAUGUAAAGAACCUGCCUUUUAACCUCCUAACCUGCUGUCCUAUUUUUAAACAUUUUCUGAAAAACGGCAUACCCAAUAAAAAUGUCGGUAGCUCUUGAACCCUAUGGUCUAUAUUUAUAAAUCUGGUCUUUUUUGAAACUAGACACUUGAUAGUUUGUUACCCUGGAAUCAUAAUAACUCAGUUAGUAUAGCAACAGAGUAAAUCAGGGUCAAAUAUACAUGAAAGUGACUCACGAUUUUAUUGCAUGAAUUUCACUUAGGGUAAAAUGGAUGAGACUUUUUAAAGGAGUCAUAUGAUGUUCCUAAAAGAACAUUAUUUUGUGUAUUUGGUGUAAUGUGAUGUGUUUACAUGGUUUAAGGUUCAAAAAACAGAUUAUUUUCCACAUACUGUGCAUUAUUGUUGCUCCUCUCUGCCCUGCCUUUCUGAAUCACGUUGAUUUUUACAAAGCUCAUCGUUCUGAAAAGUGUGGUGUGCUCUGAUUGGCCAGCUACCCAGUGCGUUGUGAUUGGCCGAAUACGUCACACUUCUAACGGAAAUGUUACGCCCCUUACCAUGUUGCGAUGCCAUGUCCCGGCAUGACGAGACAAAAUCAAUAAAACCCAUUAUAAAUGAAGCAUUUGUUGCAUGGGGAGAUAAUUACUGAUUAUGAUAACUUCUAUUGUAUUUUUACAUAAACAUAAAACCUGUCUGCAUUUGUGAUUGUAGAAACAACAAACAACAAGAACUACUCUACACUGCUCAAAACUCAUGUUUAAAUAGUUAGUAGCAAAUUCUUUAAAUAUGAAAAGGUACUGACAGGCUGUGAGUCAGAAGUGCCAGACUGUCCUUGCAAAGUUGGAAUUGCCCACUUUAUAGAAACAGCCUUUGUGCACAGCUGGCAUUGUAUACUACUCUCCCAGGUUCAGGAAACAAUUCUCCACAAAAUGCACUGCACACACUCGAAUAUUUGCAUUGUAUUGUUCUGGAACAGUGUUGUAAAUAUAACUUGGAAGGCCAAUCAAAGUAGUUUUGCUUUCGCAACGAAACACACAGUGUCUUCACGACAUCGUUAUGGCGACAACAAUACUACAGCAAGAAUAAAAGUUACGUCUUUCUUUGCAUAUACAUUUGGGCGGUGUUAUGCAAAUAUUCUCACACAGUGAUGUAGAUUUGUGGGGGUGUGUUAGAAUGAGGCAUUUUAGGAAGGCGUGUAUGAGUCUUAAUUUUUAUAAAGAAUAUCUGUUUGGGUUUGAGACUUAAAUCUUUGCAACUUUACGGAUCUUAUAUAUGCACAAACAACUUGUAUUAAUGCAGAAAAAUGUUUUUUUUUUUUUUUCCAAUUCUGAAACUUUCUAAGAUAAACGCUCUUUCUUAUCACUAAUGAUUUGUCUUUUUUGACAGACAUGCAUUACAGCUAGAAAAUAAUCUUAUAAAAGUCAUGCGUGUGGUUUGUCCUCUGGCAACUUGUUCCUUGUCCAAUCUGGGGUCUUCCCUACAGAUUGGAGAUGAAGUCGCUGGAGACUCGGCCAGAGAUCCAAUGGGAAAUGGCAAGAAAUGAAGCAAGACAGAAAAAAACAGCAUGAUCCUGACAGAGAAAGUCCCAGUGCAUUCCCAGUGCAAAUAACUCUUGAAUCGAAUCUGUGUUUUAGGUUAACAGAUUUGUCACAGUGCUUAAAAUCAGAGGUGCAUCUAAAUGUAAGCUAAUAUUCAUCUGUACUUCACAGGAAAGCAAGGCUAGGAUGCCAAUAUGCUCCUACCUGUGCCGUGCAAAAUCUGGCCGAUGACAUGCAGACUGGGGAUGAAAAAGCAGGACACAGUGCAAGUGACUGCGAAAAAAUAAAAGGUGUAUAAGAGAAAAAGGAUUCUCUUAUUUGAUUGUUUUUAGAUACACUUGAGGUCAAAAAUUUACAUACACCUUGCAGAAUCUGCAAAAUAUUAAUUAUUUGAUCAAAAUAAGAGUAUCAUACAAAGUGCAUGUUAUUUUUUAUUUAGUACUGACAUGAAUAAGAUAUUUCACAUAGAGGAUGUUUACAUAUAGUUCACAAGAGAAAAUAAUAGCUGAAUUUAUAAUAGCUGAAUUUAUAAAAAUGACCCUGUUCAAAAGUUUGAUUCUUAAUACUGUGUUGUAACGUGAAUGCUCCACAACUGUUACAGAAGGUUCAAACACUCACUGAUGCUUUAGAAGGAAACACUACGCAUUAAGAGCCAGGGGGUGAAAACUUUUGAACAGAAGGAAGAUAUUUCUUUCUGAUGAUGUACGAUCCCUCUUAUUUUGGUAAAAUAAUUAACAUUUUGCAGAUUCUGCAAGAUGUAUGUAAACUUUUAACUUCAACUGUACCUUUAAUUGCCUCGCCUUGAUUCACAAGUGCUACUUUACAAUACACAUUUUAUUAUUCAUGCAAAGAGAGAAAAUAUAGAAAUAUAUGUAUGUAUAAAUAUCUACACUUGCUAAU